RNAcentral lists this ribosomal RNA (497 nucleotides) under uncultured bacterium. Its description in RNAcentral is "partial 16S ribosomal RNA". It matches the Rfam family "Bacterial small subunit ribosomal RNA", at positions 28 to 507 of the family's 1533-position model. The record is from RNAcentral.
GAUGAACGCUGGCGGCGUGCCUAAUACAUGCAAGUCGAGCGAACGGACGAGAAGCUUGCUUCUCUGAUUUUAUCGGCGGACGGGUGAGUAACACGUGUUUAACCUACCUAUACGACUGGGAUAACUUUGGGAAACCGUAUCUAAUACCCGAUAAUUUUUUGAACUUCAUUGUUCAAAAGUUAAAUACGGUCUUUCUGUCACUUAUAGCUUGAUCCGCGCUGCAUGAGCUAGUUGGUAAGGUAACGGCUUACCAAGGCAACGAUGCAUAGCCGACCUGAGAGGGUGAUCGGACAGACGGGAACUGAGAAAGGGUCCAGACACCUACGGGAAGAAGCAGUAGGGAAUCUUACGGAAUGGGCGAAAGCCUGACGGAGCAAAGCCGCGUGAGGGAUGAAGGUCUACGGAUCGGAAAGCGAUGUUAGUAGGGAAGAACAUAUGUGUAAGUAACUGUGCAGAUCAUGACGGUACCUAAUCAGAAAGCCACGGCUAACUACGUG